Molecule: ribosomal RNA, 468 nt
Filed under: uncultured bacterium
Lineage: Bacteria
Description: partial 16S ribosomal RNA
Rfam family: Bacterial small subunit ribosomal RNA
Source: RNAcentral
GACGAACGCUGGCGGCGUGCUUAACACAUGCAAGUCGAACGGAAGGGCCCUGCUUUUGUGGGGUGCUCGAGUGGCGAACGGGUGAGUAACACGUGAGUAACCUGCCCUUGACUUUGGGAUAACUUCAGGAAACUGGGGCUAAUACCGGAUAGGAGCUCCUGCUGCAUGGUGGGGGUUGGAAAGUUUCGGCGGUUGGGGAUGGACUCGCGGCUUAUCAGCUUGUUGGUGGGGUAGUGGCUUACCAAGGCUUCGACGGGUAGCCGGCCUGAGAGGGUGACCGGCCACAUUGGGACUGAGAUACGGCCCAGACUCCUACGGGAGGCAGCAGUGGGGAAUAUUGCACAAUGGGCGGAAGCCUGAUGCAGCAACGCCGCGUGCGGGAUGACGGCCUUCGGGUUGUAAACCGCUUUCGCCUGUGACGAAGCGUGAGUGACGGUAAUGGGUAAAGAAGCACCGGCUAACUACGUG